RNAcentral lists this ribosomal RNA (301 nucleotides) under uncultured bacterium. Its description in RNAcentral is "partial 16S ribosomal RNA". It matches the Rfam family "Bacterial small subunit ribosomal RNA", at positions 509 to 807 of the family's 1533-position model. The record is from RNAcentral.
CAGUAGCCGCGGGAAUACGAAGGGGGCUAGCGUUGCUCGGAAUGACUGGGCGUAAAGGGCGCGUAGGCGGAUUGUACAGUCAGACGUGAAAUUCCUGGGCUCAACCUGGGGACUGCGUUUGAGACGUGCGAUCUAGAGUUUGGAAGAGGGUCGUGGAAUUCCCAGUGUAGAGGUGAAAUUCGUAGAUAUUCGGAGGAACACCAGUGGCGAAGGCGGCUCACUGGUCCAUUACUGACGCUGAGGUGCGAAAGCGUGGGGAGCAAACAGGAUUAGAGACCCCUGUAGUCCCUGUCUCUUAUAC